AAUGAACGCUGGCGGCGUGCCUAACACAUGCAAGUCGUGCGAGAAAGUUCCUUCGGGAGCGAGUAAAGCGGCGCACGGGUGAGUAACACGUAGGUAACCUGCCCCCCCAGUCUGGAACAACUAGAGGAAACUCUAGCUAAUGCCGGAUGAGACCACGAUCCCUUCGGGGGUUGCGGCCAAAGAUGGCCUCUACUUGUAAGCUAUCGCUGAGGGAUGGGCCUGCGGGCCAUUAGCUUGUUGGUGAGGUAACGGCUCACCAAGGCUGUGAUGGCUAGCUGGUCUGAGAGGAUGACCAGCCACACUGGGACUGAGACACGGCCCAGACUCCUACGGGAGGCAGCAGUGGGGAAUAUUGCGCAAUGGGCGAAAGCCUGACGCAGCGGCGCCGCGUGGGGGAUGAAGGUC
This 405-nucleotide ribosomal RNA is filed under the name uncultured bacterium. Its description in RNAcentral is "bacterial SSU rRNA". It matches the Rfam family "Bacterial small subunit ribosomal RNA", at positions 29 to 416 of the family's 1533-position model. The record is from RNAcentral.